GCCCCUGUGGUGAAAUUGGUAGACGCGCCGCACUCAAAAUGCGGUUCCGCAAGGAGUGCUGGUUCGAGUCCGGCCAGGGGCACCA
This 85-nucleotide transfer RNA is filed under the name Sphingopyxis panaciterrae. Its description in RNAcentral is "tRNA-Leu". It matches the Rfam family "tRNA". From Rfam's summary of the family: Transfer RNA (tRNA) molecules are approximately 80 nucleotides in length. Their secondary structure includes four short double-helical elements and three loops (D, anti-codon, and T loops). Lineage: Bacteria; Pseudomonadati; Pseudomonadota; Alphaproteobacteria; Sphingomonadales; Sphingopyxidaceae. RNAcentral also lists the same sequence under 28 other names. The record is from RNAcentral.